Molecule: unclassified non-coding RNA, 391 nt
Filed under: soil metagenome
Description: partial contains 5.8S ribosomal RNA, internal transcribed spacer 2, and large subunit ribosomal RNA
Rfam family: 5.8S ribosomal RNA (bases 1-122)
Source: RNAcentral
GAUGAAGAACGUAGUGAAAUGUGAUACUUGGUGUGAAUUGCAGAAUCCCGUGAACCAUCGAGUCUUUGAACGCAAGUUGCGCCCGAAGCCAUUAGGCCGAGGGCACGCCUGCCUGGGCGUCACACGUCGUUGCCCCCCCAUCUACUCCUUCGGGAUUGCGGGGGGCGGAUGAUGGCCUCCCGUGCGCCUCGUCGCGCGGUUGGCAUAAAUGCCAAGUCCUCGGCGACGCACGCCACGACAAUCGGUGGUUGCGAAACCUCGGUUGCCCGUCGUGUGCGGUCGUCGCGCAUCGAGGGCUCGAAAAAAUUGCCGGGCUCCGGCUCGGCUUUCAACGCGACCCCAGGUCAGGCGGGGUUACCCGCUGAAUUUAAGCAUAUCAAUAAGCGGAGGA